GACGAGCGCUGGCGGCGUGCUUAACACAUGCAAGUCGAACGGAAAGGCCCUGCUUUUGUGGGGUGCUCGAGUGGCGAACGGGUGAGUAACACGUGAGUAACCUGCCCUUGACUUUGGGAUAACUUCAGGAAACUGGGGCUAAUACCGGAUAGGAGCUCCUGCUGCAUGGUGGGGGUUGGAAAGUUUCGGCGGUUGGGGAUGGACUCGCGGCUUAUCGGCUUGUUGGUGGGGUAGUGGCUUACCAAGGCUUUGACGGGUAGCCGGCCUGAGAGGGUGACCGGCCACAUUGGGACUGAGAUACGGCCCAGACUCCUACGGGAGGCAGCAGUGGGGAAUAUUGCACAAUGGGCGGAAGCCUGAUGCAGCAACGCCGCGUGCGGGAUGACGGCCUUCGGGUUGUAAACCGCUUUCGCCUGUGACGAAGCGUGAGUGACGGUAAUGGGUAAAGAAGCACCGGCUAACUACGUG
Molecule: ribosomal RNA, 468 nt
Filed under: uncultured bacterium
Lineage: Bacteria
Description: partial 16S ribosomal RNA
Rfam family: Bacterial small subunit ribosomal RNA
Source: RNAcentral